This 327-nucleotide ribosomal RNA is filed under the name uncultured eukaryote. RNAcentral describes it as "partial 18S ribosomal RNA". It matches the Rfam family "Eukaryotic small subunit ribosomal RNA", at positions 1470 to 1796 of the family's 1831-position model. The record is from RNAcentral.
CCCUUAGAUGUUCUCGGCCGCACACGCGCUACACUGAAAGAGGCAACGUGUUUGCCUGAUUCGAAAGAAUUGGGUAACCCCCUAAUCUCUUUCGUGCUGGGGAUUGAGGUUUGCAAUUAUCCUUCAUGAACGAGGAAUUCCCAGUAAGUGCGAGUCAUUAUCUCGCGCUGACUACGUCCCUGCCCUUUGUACACACCGCCCGUCGCUACUACCGAUUGAAUGAUUUAGUGAGGACUUCGGACUGAGUCCAAUGCGGCUUUCGGGCUGCGUUGGUAUUUUGGAAAGAUGUCCAAACUGUAUCAUUUAGAGGAAGUAAAAGUCGUAACA